AGAAACAAGAGCGUAGCGGCGAGUAGUUGAAGGCCAGCGUAUUUGACAUCCCAACUAAAUUCUGAAAUGGCCCAAGUCGUACCCCCAAAAGAUUGAGCAUUUUGUAAUGCAUAUUUUAAAUAAUGAGAUUUGUCGGUGGCUUUGUAGAGCCAUAUAGCUGCCCAUAACAACUCAUCUUUGUAACCACUCAAAGAUGGAUAGUAACCUUUGGCUGCUCCAACACUUGUAUCAUACUUGCCUCUAAACUUGUCACCAAACUCAAACAACUGUUCCGCGUGGACCAAAAGAAGCU
Molecule: unclassified non-coding RNA, 292 nt
Filed under: Hevea brasiliensis (rubber tree)
Lineage: Eukaryota; Viridiplantae; Streptophyta; Magnoliopsida; Malpighiales; Euphorbiaceae
Source: RNAcentral